GGUAUAAAUUGCCGGCGCCGCAUAUUUGUCUCCCCGGCGGCAGAAGGACCAUAUCGAUAGCUAGCCCCGAGCCCCAUGCAUGCAACCUGUUGGCAGCCUCUCCCUCCCUCCCUCCCUCCACCCCGAUCUCAGCUCCACCAUCCGGGAGCUUUGUAGGUGACUUACUCGCCUCCCAGCCCCAGCAGUCCCAGGUGAUUAGCAGGCAGGAAGUAGCUGGUUUCUAACCCGGCGCACCGCCCACCUACUCGCCAUCUCCUCCGGCUCUACACCGCGGCCGGCCCUGCAGUCGAUACGUACGAUACCCUUUGUACGUGCGUGCGUACCUAGCCCGUACCUGAACUCCUCCUUGGCGCCAUGGGGAGCUCGUGCGU
RNAcentral lists this long non-coding RNA (371 nucleotides) under Hordeum vulgare. RNAcentral describes it as "long non-coding RNA (HVUL_LNC010982)". The record is from RNAcentral. Lineage: Eukaryota; Viridiplantae; Streptophyta; Magnoliopsida; Poales; Poaceae.